UACGGAGGGGGCGAGCGUUGUCCGAAGUUACUGGGCGUAAAGCGCGCGUAGGCGGGUUGCUAAGUCCGCUGUGAAAGCCCGAGGCUCAACCUCGGAGGGUCGGUGGAUACUGGCAGUCUUGAAGGUGGUAGGGGGAGAUGGAAUUACCGGUGUAGCGGUGAAAUGCGUAGAGAUCGGUAGGAACACCAGUGGCGAAGGCGGUCUCCUGGCCCACUCUUGACGCUGAGGCGCGAAAGCUGGGGGAGCGAACGGG
Molecule: ribosomal RNA, 253 nt
Filed under: uncultured bacterium
Lineage: Bacteria
Description: partial 16S ribosomal RNA
Rfam family: Bacterial small subunit ribosomal RNA
Source: RNAcentral